This 493-nucleotide ribosomal RNA is filed under the name uncultured bacterium. Its description in RNAcentral is "partial 16S ribosomal RNA". It matches the Rfam family "Bacterial small subunit ribosomal RNA", at positions 28 to 506 of the family's 1533-position model. The record is from RNAcentral.
GACGAACGCUGGCGGCGUGCUUAACACAUGCAAGUCGAACGGAAAGGCCUGCUUUCCCUUGUGGAUUGCGGGUACUCGAGUGGCGAACGGGUGAGUAACACGUGAGUGAUCUGCCCCCAACUUGGGUAUAAGUCUGGGAAACUGGGUCUAAUUCCCGAUAGGACUGCAGGGUGGUGCCUGUGGUGGAAAACGAUUUUCUAGUGGUUGGGGAUGAGCUCGCGGCCUAUCAGCUUGUUGGUGGGGUAAUGGCCUACCAAGGCGGCGACGGGUAGCCGGCCUGGGAGGGUGGACGGCCACAUUGGGACUGAGAUACGGCCCAGACUCCGACGGGAGGCAGCAGUGGGGAAUAUUGCACAAUGGGCGGAAGCCUGAUGCAGCGACGCCGCGUGGGGGAUGACGGCCUGCGGGUUGUAAACUCCUUUCGACCGCGAGGAAGCCACCUGGUUGGAAGGGUGGUGACGGUAGUGGUAGAAGAAGCACCGGCUAACUACGU